RNAcentral lists this ribosomal RNA (253 nucleotides) under uncultured bacterium. RNAcentral describes it as "partial 16S ribosomal RNA". It matches the Rfam family "Bacterial small subunit ribosomal RNA", at positions 524 to 776 of the family's 1533-position model. The record is from RNAcentral.
UACGAAGGGGGCUAGCGUUGCUCGGAAUCACUGGGCGUAAAGCGCACGUAGGCGGCUUUCUAAGUCAGGGGUGAAAUCCUGGAGCUCAACUCCAGAACUGCCUUUGAUACUGGAGAGCUUGAGUCCGGAAGAGGUGGGUGGAACUCCGAGUGUAGAGGUGAAAUUCGUAGAUAUUCGGAAGAACACCAGUGGCGAAGGCGGCUCACUGGUCCGGUACUGACGCUGAGGUGCGAAAGCGUGGGGAGCAAACAGG